RNAcentral lists this ribosomal RNA (253 nucleotides) under uncultured bacterium. RNAcentral describes it as "partial 16S ribosomal RNA". It matches the Rfam family "Bacterial small subunit ribosomal RNA", at positions 524 to 776 of the family's 1533-position model. The record is from RNAcentral.
UACAGAGGUCUCAAGCGUUGUUCGGAUUCAUUGGGCGUAAAGGGUGCGUAGGUGGCGCGGUAAGUCGGGUGUGAAAUUUCGGAGCUUAACUCCGAAACUGCAUUCGAUACUGCCGUGCUUGAGGACUGGAGAGGAGACUGGAAUUUACGGUGUAGCAGUGAAAUGCGUAGAUAUCGUAAGGAAGACCAGUGGCGAAGGCGGGUCUCUGGACAGUUCCUGACACUGAGGCGCGAAGGCCAGGGGAGCAAACGGG